AAUGGGUUCCUAGGAAGAGGUAGUAGGUUGCAUAGUUUUAGGGCAGGGAUUUUGCCCACAAGGAGGUAACUAUACGACCUGCUACCUUUCUUAGGGCCUUAUU
Molecule: microRNA precursor, 103 nt
Filed under: Pteropus vampyrus (large flying fox)
Lineage: Eukaryota; Metazoa; Chordata; Mammalia; Chiroptera; Pteropodidae
Description: miRNA (ENSPVAG00000024665.1)
Rfam family: let-7 microRNA precursor family (bases 10-94)
About the family: This family represents the microRNAs (miRNA) let-7 and mir-98. let-7 was identified from a study of developmental timing in C. elegans, and was later shown to be part of a much larger class of non-coding RNAs termed miRNAs.
Source: RNAcentral